UCUUGUAAUUGGAAUGAGUACAAUUUAAAUCCCUUAACGAGGAACAAUUGGAGGGCAAGUCUGGUGCCAGCAGCCGCGGUAAUUCCAGCUCCAAUAGCGUAUAUUAAAGUUGUUGUGGUUAAAAAGCUCGUAGUUGAACCUUGGGCCUGGCUGGCCGGUCCCCCUCACCGGGUGCACUGGUCCGGCCGGGCCUUUCCCUCUGUGGAACCGCAUGCCCUUCACUGGGUGUGCCGGGGAAACAGGACUUUUACUUUGAAAAAAUUAGAGUGCUCCAGGCAGGCCUAUGCUCGAAUACAUUAGCAUGGAAUAAUAGAAUAGGACGUGUGGUUCUAUUUUGUUGGUUUCUAGGACCGCCGUAAUGAUUAAUAGGGACAGUCGGGGGCAUCAGUAUUCAAUUGUCAGAGGUGAAAUUCUUGGAUCUAUUGAAGACUAACUACUGCGAAAGCAUUUGCCAAGGAUGUUUUCAUUGAUAAGGAACGAAAGUUAGGGGAUCGAAGACGAUCAGAUACCGUCGUAGUCUUAACUAUAAACUAUGCCGACUAGGGAUCGGACGGUGUUUAUACUUGACCCGUUCGGCACCUUUCGAGAAAUCAAAGUGCUUGGGCUCCAGGGGGAGUAUGGUCGCAAGGCUGAAACUUAAAGAAAUUGACGGAAGGGCACCACCAGGGGUAAACUGAAGCCGUAUCGCUCUGCCCCGAAAAGCGAGCCCGUAACGGGUUCGGUGGUUGCCGGCACUCGCUAGUCGCCGCGUCCAGCGCGGCGGCGACACCCUCAACGUGCGGGGAACCCUCGAAGGGCACCACUCCUAAGUAGCGGUCGAAAGACGCGCUAUGGCGGCGGCGUAAUGGCCGCCGGUACAGGGAAAACGUGGUGCUUAGGAGGCGAUUCGCAGCCAAGCUCCUACCCGCCCCCCCGGGGGGCGCAGGGAGAAAGGUCCAG
RNAcentral lists this ribosomal RNA (939 nucleotides) under Graphium sp. UCR2132. RNAcentral's name for it is "bacterial SSU rRNA". It matches the Rfam family "Eukaryotic small subunit ribosomal RNA", at positions 501 to 1607 of the family's 1831-position model. The record is from RNAcentral. Lineage: Eukaryota; Fungi; Ascomycota; Sordariomycetes; Microascales; Graphiaceae.